RNAcentral lists this microRNA precursor (151 nucleotides) under Prunus dulcis (almond). Its description in RNAcentral is "sRNA ncRNA". The record is from RNAcentral. Lineage: Eukaryota; Viridiplantae; Streptophyta; Magnoliopsida; Rosales; Rosaceae.
AGAGGGAAGAUGAGAAUGGAGGAAGGGAGGGAGGAGUAAUAAAAGUGAAAACCAAAACUAAAAACUGAAAUAUAUUUGAAAUGGUUUUCAUUAAGUUUUUGUUUUCACUUUUGUUAGUCCUUCUUCCUAUCCUCCCCUCAUCAUCAUCACU